CGGCGGAGCCAGGAGUCGCGAGAGGCGGCGAUUGAGAAGAGUAGGUGGCGGCGUUGGGUGGAGAAGAGGGGUAAGGAGCGAGCGAUGGAGGAGAUUGGGUCGCGGCGGAAGGUGAAGAGGGUGAAGACGAUGGAGCAGAAGGUGAGGAGUAAGAAGAUGUUUCUGACGCGAGGGGAGAUUAGGGGAGGUGAUUUGGAGGGGAAGGGCAUCUCAGGCGAGAUGGAGUCGGGUCUUGAGAGAGGUGGAUCGGAUCGUCUCUUUCGUCUUGUCUGGUUCAUUUCUGAGGUUUUGUUUACUCAGUCUCUCUCUCUCUCUCUCCGUGAAUUCGUCCAGGCUUUAUGUUUCUCGGAAGCUGGAAGGCGAAACCGUCUCCGUUACAGUGAAUGGUUUCACUUUUACGGGUCGGGUAAUACCAGAUUCUGUCCGGCUCUAAUCGUCGGACCCUGCUAGCUGAGGUAGAGGUUUAGGUGUCUUGUUUCUUAAACCACCCAUUAUAAAAGAACACCGUAACUCUGUCACUAUGCAAAUACAAGAUGUGACUUAUAUGAAUGUUAAUGUAGCUAGGCCUGGCACUUUUAUCUGAGAUCCGGAUUUGAUCCGAGAUGAGAUCCGGAUCCGAUCCAAAAAUCCAGAUAUCCGGAGGAGUCGAAUCUAGAUCCGGAUAGUAAAAUGUUAGAUCCGUCAAAGCCGGAUCCGGAUCCGGAUAUCUUAAUUUUUAAGUCCGGAUAUCCGGAUCCGUAAGUUUUAUUAAUAAAUAUUUCAAAAAUAGUAAUAUCUAUAUAUAUAAAUUAAUUUUAUUUAAUAUAUUUUCAUUUUUAUAAUAGUAUAUAUAAAUUUUAUGUAAAUUUUGUAAUAUUAUACAUAGAAAUAAUUAAAGACAUUAUAUAUAUUUUUAUUUUUAAAUUAUUGUUAAUAUUUUUUAUAUAUUAAUAUUAUUUUUUAUUUAUUUAAGGAUCCAAAUCUGGAUCCGGAUAUCCGCCGGAUAUUACAAUUUUUAUAAGGAUAUCCGACACCCGGAUAUCAGAGAACCCCGGAUCCGGAUAAGGAUAGUAAAAUUAUGGAUCCGCCGGAUAAGGAUCCGAAUCCGGAUAUCUUAAAAUUGCCCGGAUAUCCGAUCCGUACCAGGCCUAAAUGUAGCAUUUGUAUCAUGAAAUACCAAAUUUAUUUUUCAUAUGACAGAAGUAAAUCUUGAAUAUCAAAGCAAUCUCUUACAAUUUCACUGCUCUAUAUUUAUUAUUUGGUAUGUACAAGAAUUAUAUAUACACGUUUUAUCCAACGAACAUGUGGAUGCUUAUAAAAGAACAACUAAAUAUGUUGUGUAAUAUAGAUAUGUAUGUUUAUGUAUAGUAAAACUAGGUGUUUUCAUGUGCACCAGUAAGAAAUUUUUUAAAUCUAAACUAUAUUUAAAAAUAAAUUUUACUAAAUAUUAUAGAUUUUACUAUUUUCUUAUUAAUAUUUAAUAUAGAUUUGAUAUAUAUUAAAUCAAUUUGUAUAAAACUAAUAAAAAUGAUAUAAAAUUGUAUAAUUAUCAAAAAUUUAGCUUAAACAAGAACAAGAAUAACAAAUCAAACCAAAAAAAAAAACUAAUCAAUCAAAUACACUAAAUUUAACAGAUGAAAGGGUAUACUCAGACAGCCAAGGGUUAUUCUUCAACUUCCGGGAGAAGAGCCCAGAUCAGAAACUCUAGUCCACAACAUAAAUGUAUCAUCACCAUAUUACCCUUCCACAUUCAAUAAACACAAAAAAUUUCCACUCUAUAUUAUUCAGGAGUUCAAAAAGGUGAAGGAUGACACAAGCAACAGAACAUAACGCAGAGAUAGUGACGAACACGGCUGGGAAGUAUUUGCACAGAAACAUACAUGAUUAAAUGAAAACAAUAUACGAGGCAUUUCCAGGAUCAAAAAGCACUAAAAAGGCAAGAUGAUCAGGAUAUACCACAAAAUUACUAUUGCGUCACAAGCCAUUAUACCUGAGGGAAUGGUGUUUCUCCCUCAGAAUUGGUAAUGGACGCCAACACAAAAAGACAAACACUCGAAUUGAUAUGCUCAGUGGAAGGAGAAGUCGUUUAAUUAGGAAAGCUCACGGCAACAACAAACCCUUCACAGAAUUUGUAAUUGUCCACUGCUCUUCUUACACUCUUCGUGUUUUUAUCUCAUCAUAGCAUCAAAAUACAUAACAAUCCAACAAAAAAACAUCUAAACUCAAUAUAAGAAGCUUCAGUGUGUGUAACAAAGUCAGAUCAUUGAUCGAUAAAACCUCACUGAAAUCCGCUAAGAUAUUUGUUUUUUUUUUAUCAUCCUAAGCUUUUUAUAUAAGCCCCAUCUAAAACAAAACCGAGAACAUAAACAUAAACUCAAAACAAAAAGAGAGUUUUUAUGAUUGGUGUGAAAGAAUACUCAGACAGCCAAGGGUUACUCUUCAACUUCUGGGUGAAGUGCCCAGAUCUGAAACUCUAGUCCAUAACAUUAUUGUAUCAUCACCAUACUUACUUCCACACCCCCAAAAAAAAAACACUUCACAAAAAGCAUAAACUCCACGAUGAAAAAGUAACAGAAAAGGUCUUAAGUUUUGUGUAAGACGAAAAGCAUAUAAAUACACAGCCAAACAUAGACGAAACCGAGAACUAGGGUUCCCCCGGCGGUUAUAAUUUAUUUUAGCCUUUUCUUGACCCAUUUAGUUUCACUGAGCCCAUCUUACGUGGCCCAAACAGACAACUUCAUUACUGUAUAAACUCACACACCUUCCCUUACUAUUUCUGGUAAACCAGUCAACACACAAAACCCAAAAAGGGAAAGAAAGAUAAACAUAUAAAAUGAAGAAAAUCCAACUUGUGUUCAUACCCGCGGCGGAAAUUGGCCAUCUCCGGUCAACCGUCGAGUUAGCUAAGAAACUCCUCGACGAAGACGAUCUUCUCUCAAUCACCGUACUCAUCAUCCCUCGCCCUUCCGCCGACGAUUCCGACCACGUUACACCCCUUUUCACGCCGUCUCAAGAACGCCUCCGUCACGUCACCAUCUCCGCCGCAGAUCAACCACCCGACGUUCCUCUCGAUCCUAAAGCCUUCAUGGACAACCAAAAGCCGAAAGUGAGAGACGCAGUCUCCAAACUCCUCGACUCGCCGCCGCGGCUCGCCGGAUUCGUCGUCGACAUGUUCUGCACGUCGAUGAUAGAAGUAGCUGAAGAAUUCAAAGUCCCUACGUAUAUGAUGUACACGUCAAACGCUGCGUUUCUAGGAAUCACGCUUCAUCUCCAGUUAAUGUUCGACGAGAAGAGGUAUGACGUCAGCGAGUUGGACGACUCGGUCAACGAGUUGGACUUCCCGUGUUUGACUCGUCCUUAUCCUGUGGAAUGUCUUCCUUAUCUAUUCACCUCUAAGCAGUGGCUUCCCUUCUUUUUUGACCAAGCACGAAACUUCCGAAAGUUGAAGGGUAUUUUGGUAAAUUCCUUUGCUGAGCUGGAGCCUCACUCUUUGAAAAUAUUCUCUGGUGACCUUCCUCAAGCGUAUCCAGUGGGACCACUGCUGCAUCUCCAAAACGACGUCGUCGAAGCGAAGCAAUAGGAGGUUUUACGGUGGCUCGACGAGCAACCGGCGAGGUCGGUCGUGUUCCUCUGUUUCGGGAGCAUGGGAGGCUUCAACGAGGAGCAAACGAGAGAAAUCGCCGUCGCGUUGGAAAGAAGCGGCCACCGGUUUCUCUGGUCUCUCCGCCGCGGAUCGCCGGAUAUACUGACGGAGCCUCCCGGAGAUUACGCGAAUCCGGAGGAGGUUCUACCGGAGGGAUUCUCGGAUCGGACGUCGGGGAGAGGGAAGGUGAUCGGAUGGGCUCCGCAAGUGGCGGUGCUCGCUAAGCCGGCGAUCGGGAGCUUCGUUACCCACUGCGGAUGGAACUCGGUGCUCGAGAGCUUGUGGUUCGGCGUUCCGAUGGUGACGUGGCCGCUCUACGCGGAGCAGAAGAUCAACGCGUUCGAGAUGGUGGAGGAGCUUGGACUGGCGGUGGAGAUACGGAGGUUCUUUAGAGGAGAUUUGUUGGGCGGAGAGAUGGAGACGGUUGCGGCGGAGGAUAUUGAGAGAGCGGUGAGGCGUGUGAUGGAGGAAGGUAGUGACGUCAGGAAGAGAGUGAAGGAGAUGGCUGAGAAGUGCCACGUGGCGUUAGAGGAUGGUGGAUCUUCGCAGGUGGCUUUGCAGAAGUUUAUUCGAGACGUGGUCGAAAACGUUGUGGUCUAAUUGGAUGGAACCAUGUGGAGGCAAAGUAGAAAGGAUAGUUUAUGUACACCGUUAUUACUAAUUUCCCACCAAAAAAAAAAAAAAAAUUCCCACUUUGGAUAAUACGGUUAUGAAACGUUAGUAUACCAUGUAUGUUACAUUUCUUGAAUAAGAUUCUGAUGUGUAUAUGUACCGUUAAGAAUAAUAAUAAUAAUCAAAAUUGUCUUAUAGAAAUGAUUGUUGUGUUUCAAAACUUCCAACUGAUUGAAGUGUCAUAGAUGAAAUCAGUAUAUCAGCUUAAAUGAACGUAAUGUCACGGCCUUUUUCUCGAUGAUAAUGCGAACCACAUCAUUAGAUACAGACCAGUAUACAUCUUACAUCUCCAGAUAAGCGACAUGAUGGCUUCCACACGUGUAGGCACGGGGACGCUUUCGCUAGCAGCUUUGAGGUCCACGAAAAACACAGUGUCGUCGUCUCCGAAGACGAACCACCGCACGUCUUUAGAACUAACCUCCUCGACGCGGUAUGCUCAAACGGGCUGGGAACAGUUCAAGGCAUGCCUAUGGAAACAACAACUCUCUUAUUGGAGAAACCCUUCCUACAAUCUCACUCGCAUCCUCUUCAUGUGUCUUACCUCUGUGAUCUGUGGCGUUUUGUUCUGGCAAAAGGCUAAUAAAAUGUUACUCUCUUGCCUCUCAACUUUCUUUAAGUUUGUUUUCUCUCAAACUUUAUGUUUUAUCUUUCUUCUUUGGCAGAAACACUCAACAAGAUCUUUUCAAUGUAUUGGGAUCAAUGUACACGGUGGUUCUUUUCACUGGAAUAAACAAUUGCUCUACCGUAUUAUUCUGCAUUGCAACCGAACGAAAUGUCUUCUACCGCGAAAGAUUUGCUCAAAUGUACAACUCAUGGGCCUACUCCCUUGCACAGGUUAACACAUUUUCCUCAAAUCAAAUCCAUACAGGGAGUAAUAGAUAAACUGAAGCCUUAACUUUUGUAGGUGUUGGUUGAGAUUCCAUACUCAUUAGUCCAGUCUAUAUUAUGUGUUGCAAUAUUAUAUCCUAUGGUUGGCUAUCACGUCUCGCUCUACAAAGUGUUUUGGAGCUUCUACUCAGUCUUCUGCUCGCUGCUCAUUUACAACUACUUUGGCAUGCUUUUAGUUGUCAUCACCCCAAACAUUCACGUUGCUUUUACUCUACGCUCUGGUUUCUACUCGAUGGUCAAUCUCUUCGCUGGUUAUGUCAUUCCAAAACCUGUAAGUACCUCUUUUUUUUUUCAGAAAGAUAAAAAUAUCAAAUGUAUGAGAGUUUUGUUGAUUGAUAUGCAGAGCAUUCCGAAAUGGUGGAUUUGGAUGUAUUACUUGAGUCCCACGUCAUGGAUCUUAAACGGGUUGCUCACAUCUCAGUAUGGAGAUAUGGAGAAAGAGAUAGUAGCAUUUGGAGAGAGGAAGAAGGUUUCAGAUUUCGUGGAAGAUUAUUUUGGUUUCAGAUAUGGUCAUAUGACUCUUUGGCUGUUGUAGCUAUCGUUCUCAGUGUCUUCCCCAUUCUCCUGGCUUCUCUUUUCGCAUUCUUCAUCGGUAAACUCAAUUUCCAAAAGAAGUGAUUCUUAUAAUCCUGCUUCACUGUGUCGGUAUGAACAGUGUAUUGGUAUUUAGCAAAUAAAUAAAUUUAAGUUUCUACAUAUGUUACUUUUGUGUCCAAAAAAGAACAAACGGUUGCGGGUGUAACAUUCGAAGAGCAAAGUGACCCUCACCACAUGAGAAAAAAAAAACUCAAACAUAUAAAAGGCAAAGUGACUUUCACCGCAUGACAUUAAAAAAAAAAAAGAACUCAAAACUUAGGAUGGAGUAUGAGAAACAUCAAUGCCUGCACAACUGUAUAUACAGAGGAAGGAUCUCAGCAUUAUUCUUCUCCUUGGCCAAAAGUAAGUAAAAUGAUAUCUUGCAUAUUUGCAUUAUUUUAACUUUUCAUUCUUGCAUAUUUUGGUCAUUUAGAUUAGGAAUUAUGCAUUUUAGCUUCCUUUUUGCAUAAGUUUUUAUCAGGUGUUAGAGUGUCCAUUGGAGUUUUUGGAGGUACUUGGAGGCCUUUGGAAUCAAAAAGGGAGUGGAAAGUGUUGUUUGAGCGAGUAGAGCACCGGAGCGGGCAACGGGAGCAACCUACGACACCCGCUCCAGACGAAACGAAGUCAGAACGACGUCCUGCAGCGGGGUUAGGCUCCCGCUCUGAGCCCAAUAGCUCGUCGAUCACUUUCGAGAGCUGGAGUGACCAAGACGGAGCGAGGUCAGUCACCAGCGCGUAAAAUGAAGAAACAAAGUAUGCAUUUGGAGCGACGUCCCGGAGCGAGGUGAGGCACCCGCUCCGAACUCAACUUCUCGUCGACGACUUUCGAGAGCCGGAGCGACCAAGACGGAGCUAGGUCAGCAACCCGCGCGCAAUAUGAAGAAACAAAGCAUGCAUUUGGAGCGACGUCCCGGAGGGAGGUGGCGAACCCGCUCUGGAAGCAGAGCGACCUGGUGGAGCGACCUCAUGAACCCACACGCGUUUCUCUUCUUCUGAUCGAAAAUUUAUGUUUUAUUUGGGCCUUUCAGGUUGUUGACUGAGCCCACCAGAUCGUAGAAGUCAUAUAAAUACUCUCUAAACCUAAUGUUAGGAUCUUAUCUCAUUUUCUAUAUAAUCAAAAAGCCACUUUUAGGUGAAAGAUCUAAUCUUGAUCAUUAUCUUUUAUGAUUGUUUGAUUGCUUUGAUCAUUAAUCAUGUUUAGACUUAGAUCAGCUAAUAAUUUAGUGUCUACCAUGAUAAUGAGUGAGUAGUCAUCUUUGGAUUCAUGGGUUAAGAUGAUUAGGAUGAUUAAGUGAUGAUCUAGAAUGUUUAGAGUAUAUUAAUAUGUUUCUUUGCUUGAUUGAGUGAUCUUAAUGCUAAUCUAGAGUUGGCCAUUUUAGAUUAGAAAUCUAGACAUUUCAUUGUCCGGAAGGUGUUCGAUGAAAUGUUUGAGCCAACUCAACAUGCUCUUAGCUUACCUUACCAAAAGCAUUUGAUGUUAGAGAAAUUUAGAAAGUUGAAUGAUCUGUUCUUAAUGAUUAUUUGAUUGACACAAACCAAAGGCAUUUGAUGUUUGAUCAAUGAGAGUAAAUGAACAUUUGUAAUGAGAGUAAAUGAGCAUUUGUCUUGACAAAGAACUUGAUUAGAAUUGUUAUCUAGACUUGUGAAAAUGUGUUGAUUGAAAUUUUGUCAUUUUAGAUUAAAUCUUAGACAUCUGAAAUCAAAUUCUUAUACUCAUGACUCUUCAUUUAUCCAUUUGCUUAAAAGUUGCUAGUAAAUUGUGUUAGAGUCAUGUUAGCUUAAUCAAAUCAUUUCAUUACAUUAAAUGUAUUUAGCUUAAAUAUGAACCUGAUUUCUCUUAGAAUUGAAAUACUUAGAAAUAGAUUGACAUCUAAAAUACUAUUUUGAUUUGAACUUCGGACCCUUGAAAAGUCCAUAUCAUAAGACAAAAAAACAAACUUGGUGGAAAAUACACAAUCCUUCGAAGUUACGUCUGGUUCGGACUCUGGUCUCUUCUAUAAGACAUUUACUUCUGAAGUUAGCCAGGAAGAAUAAAACUAACCCACCCCUACAAGCUACAAGACAAAAAACACAUUAGGUUAAUAUUGUUAGGAUUGAUUCAGGCAGAGGUCUAUUAAAAUAAGAAACUUACCUCAGGAUUCUGCCAUUGAUUUACAUCAGAAGAAUAUUAGACUCAGGCGCUGUUUAGCUGAUUCUUGAAGUGAAUGGUUAGAGAAAGAAAAAAAUGCUAAGUGUUCAUGGCAAUUAGCUCAUCAGGCAUGCAUUGCCUUAUGUUAAUGACCAUUGAAGUGUUAUAAGGCGAUGAGAUGUCACAGCACUGACGGCGAGGCGGAUUCAUCUGUCAUUUUAUUCAAGAGAAGAAAAAAAGAUUUUAGAUCUGGCCAAUUUAUAUAGCAAAGGAGUAUUUAUAAAACUAUACCUGUUCAACGUUAAGUUUCAGCUUACGAGACAGAACUCGGAUGCGUUGUAAUCGCUUAACAGCUUCUCCUCGGUGGCAGUUUCCCACACUAUGAAGCUUAUAGCUACUCCACGUCCCAUCAGUCUCAUCUGAUCCUACACCAUACAAGAAAAAGACGAGCGGCCUGGCACAUGGAUCUCUGGGAUACUCUCUUGUGCUGAACAUAUAGUUGCUCCGGACUCCUGACCCUCUCCUCCAUGUAGAAAACGUCUUUUGCAAGGUGAGAAGAUCCGGGAGGAGUUUAUUCCCUUCAUAGACUUGAAUCGCGUAGCCCCACACAACCGAAACAGUCACUGUGUUUGAAGGAUCAUAACACACACUCUGCUGCAAGAUCCUAGCGGAAUCCAAACUUGCAGCACCGAUGAGACGAGCCACGGACUCGGUCCGGUUUGUUUUUGGAAAGAAUGGAUCAACCGCGUCCAAGUGAUGAAGUGAUACCAAUGGAGCUAAAGGGUGCGCGCAUAGCAGUCCAAAUAGGUUCCCUCUUAUAUCAAUCUAUGAAAAAAUAGCACAUAUAUAGUAAUGUUCAGACAGUAACUACACUUGUCCAAAACCAACCAACCAAGGAAAGUAACCUUAUACUUCAGUUAUUGAGCUAAACUUUCCAAAUAUAGAAACUCUCUGUUGUUCAUCAAUCAGCAUCCAUGGAACUAUUUUUCAAUCAUUGUUGAAAAUAGUAAAUAUUCGGACAGUAGCUACACUUGUCCAAAUAGAACCAAACAAGGCAAGUAAAAUAAGACUUCAGUUAUUUAGCUUAACUUUCCAAAUAUAGAAACUGGUCUGUUGUUCAUCAAUCAGCAUCAAUGGAACUACAUUUCAAUCAUUGUUGAAAAUAGUAAUGUUCAGACACAAUCCAAAACCAACCAAACAAGGCAAGCAAGCUAACACUUCAGUUACUGAACUUAACUUUCCAAAUAAAGAAGAAACUCUCUGUUCAUCAAUCAGGCAUCAAUGGAACUAUAAUUAAAUCAUUGAUAAAAAAUAGCAAUGUUCAGACACUAACUACACAUAUAUAGUAGUAAUGUUCAGACACUAACUACACUUAUCCCAAAACCAACCAAACAAGGCAAGUAAAAUAAGACUUCAGUUAUUUAGCUUAACUUUCCAAAUAUAGAAACGAUCUCAAUUACUAUUAAAACCUAGAAAGUUGGUUUCUUUACGUUAUACCUGAUGAAACCCAGGCUCGUGAGUCAACGCAACACCAAGCUCAGCUAAGCAAGAGAAGAUCCUGGAGUCGCUCCCAUACAUAUGCGCAUACCUCAUCAAACAAGAAUCCAAAACCCUAGCAAGAACCUUCCCAAGCGAAGCGCUGAUCGCGAACCCUCCGCCACCAAACGCCAUAUCAAACGAGUACCUCACAUUCUGAUCAUAAAACUCCGAGUUGCUCCCCACGUACCACCACUUCCGGUGAUCGUACUUUGACAAAACCGUGACGAGAUUGUCCACGAAAAACACAGUGUCGUCGUCUCCGAAGACGAACCACCGCACGUCUUUGUUAUCUCCCCCAUCAAUUGUCUCUUUGACGACGCGAGCGACGCGGAUCGCCGAUCGGAGUCCGCCGGGGAAGGUGUAAGGAAACCUGGAGACGUCUUGGGAGACGAUCACGGGAGGGAGGGUGUGAUCGCGAUCGGGAUCGGGAUCGAGUCCUCCGCCGCCGCCGCGAUCGAGGAAGACGACGGCGCGCGUGGAGGAGUCGGGGGAGUACCAGAGGCGGACGUAGGAGCUGCGGCGGAGCCAGGAGUCGCGAGAGGCGGCGAUUGAGAAGAGUAGGUGGCGGCGUUGGGUGGAGAAGAGGGGUAAGGAGCGAGCGAUGGAGGAGAUUGGGUCGCGGCGGAAGGUGAAGAGGGUGAAGACGAUGGAGCAGAAGGUGAGGAGUAAGAAGAUGUUUCUGACGCGAGGGGAGAUUAGGGGAGGUGAUUUGGAGGGGAAGGGCAUCUCAGGCGAGAUGGAGUCGGG
Molecule: long non-coding RNA, 10171 nt
Filed under: Brassica napus (rape)
Lineage: Eukaryota; Viridiplantae; Streptophyta; Magnoliopsida; Brassicales; Brassicaceae
Description: long non-coding RNA (BNAP_LNC020739)
Source: RNAcentral